GAAUUUUUAGUAUAAUUUUUGGUACGGUUAAUUGUUGAUUAGCAGGUUUUGAAGUUCU
This 58-nucleotide transfer RNA is filed under the name Onchocerca volvulus. Its description in RNAcentral is "tRNA-Asn". Lineage: Eukaryota; Metazoa; Nematoda; Chromadorea; Rhabditida; Onchocercidae. The record is from RNAcentral.